RNAcentral lists this ribosomal RNA (200 nucleotides) under uncultured bacterium. RNAcentral describes it as "partial 16S ribosomal RNA". It matches the Rfam family "Bacterial small subunit ribosomal RNA", at positions 8 to 236 of the family's 1533-position model. The record is from RNAcentral.
AGAGUUUGAUCCUGGCUCAGAACGAACGCUGGCGGCAUGCCUAAUACAUGCAAGUCGAACGAACACUUCGGUGUUAGUGGCGCACGGGUGCGUAACGCGUGGGAAUCUGCCCUUGGGUUCGGAAUAACAGUUGGAAACGACUGCUAAUACCGGAUGAUGACGAAAGUCCAAAGAUUUAUCGCCCAAGGAUGAGCCCGCGU